RNAcentral lists this ribosomal RNA (1204 nucleotides) under Caulobacter vibrioides. RNAcentral describes it as "bacterial SSU rRNA". It matches the Rfam family "Bacterial small subunit ribosomal RNA", at positions 45 to 1283 of the family's 1533-position model. The record is from RNAcentral. Lineage: Bacteria; Pseudomonadati; Pseudomonadota; Alphaproteobacteria; Caulobacterales; Caulobacteraceae.
GGACUAUAAAGGUAACCAGGUACGUACAGUGAAGGUUUGAUAUGGCUCAGAAGUCGUACAAGGUAACCGUAAAGUUUAAUAAUGGCUGGGAACGUGCCCUCUGGUUCGGAACAACUCUGGGAAACUUGAGCUAAUACCGGAUGUGCCCUUCUGGGGAAAGAUUUAUCGCCAUUGGAGCGGCCCGCGUCUGAUUAGCUAGUUGGUGGGGUAAAGGCCCACCAAGGCGACGAUCAGUAGCUGGUCUGAGAGGAUGAUCAGCCACAUUGGGACUGAGACACGGCCCAAACUCCUACGGGAGGCAGCAGUGGGGAAUCUUGCGCAAUGGGCGAAAGCCUGACCCAGCCAUGCCGCGUGAGUGAUGAAGGUCUUACGAUUGUAAAGUUCUUUCACCGGGGACGAUAAUGACGGUACCCGGAGAAGAGGCCCCGGCUAACUUCGUGCCAGCAGCCGCGGUAAUACGAAGGGGGCUAGCGUUGCUCGGAAUUACUGGGCGUAAAGGGAGCGUACGCGGACUGUUAAGUUAGAGGUGAAAGCCCAGGGCUCAACCUUGGAAUUGCCUUUGAUACUGGCAGUCUUGAAUACAGAAGAGGUAUGUGGAACUCCGAGUGUAGAGGUGAAAUUCGUAGAUAUUCGGAAGAACACCAGUGGCGAAAGCGACAUACUGGUCCGAUACUGACGCUGAUGCUCGAAAGCGUGGGGAGCAAACAGGAUUAGAUACCCUGGUAGUCCACGCCGUAAACGAUGAGUGCUAUUUGUCAGCAUGAAUGCCUGUCGGUGACGCAGCUAACGCAUUAAGCACUCCGCCUGGGGAGUACGGUCGCGAGAUUAAAACUCAAAGGAAUUGACGGGGGCCCUCACAAGCGGUGGAGCAUGUGGUUUAAUUCGAGCAACGCGCAAAACCUUACCGCUUUUGACAUGCCUGGAUCGCCACAGACAUGUGUUUUUCCCUUCGGGGACUGUUACUCGGUGCUGCAUGGCUGUCGUCAGCUCGUGUCGUGAAAUGUGGGCUAAGUCCCGCAACGAUCGCAACCUCGGGAAUAAUUGCCAUCAGGUAUGGGUGGGCUUCCAAACCUACCGCCGGAAUUAGCCGAAGUAGGGUGGGAUGACUUCAGUUCUCCUGGUCCUUACAAGUGGGGCUUCCCCCUGGCUUAAAUGGCCGUUAGAAGGGCUGGAAUCCCGGCAGGGGGAUCAAAUUCCCUAAGGC